ACAUGUCCUUUAGGAUUGAAUUUAAGGUCUAGCCUGCCCACUGAGUUGUUAAAUGGCCGCAGUAUUUUAACUGUGCAAAGGUAGCAUAAUCAUUAGUCUUUUAAUUGAAGGCUUGUAUGAAUGGUUGGACAAAAUAUAUAUUGUUUCAUUUAAAUUAAUAGAAUUUUAUUUUUUAGUUAAAAAGCUGAAAUUUAAUUAAAAGACGAGAAGACCCUAUAGAUCUUUAUAGUUGUUGAGUUUAAUUUAUGAAGAAUGGUUUAUUUUUAAUUUAUUCAACUAUUUUAUUGGGGUGAUAGUAAGAUUUAUUUAACUCUUGUAUAAUUUAAUACAUAAAUUAAUGAUUAGUUGAUCCAGUAUUAUUGAUUAGUAAAAUAAGUUACCUUAGGGAUAACAGCGUAAUUUUUUUAGAGAGUUCAUAUCGAUAAAAAAGAUUGCGACCUCGAUGUUGGAUUAAGAGAUAAGUUUGGGCGCAGCCGUUCAAAUUUAAAGUCUGUUCGACUUUUUGAUUCUUACAUGAUCUG
This 521-nucleotide ribosomal RNA is filed under the name Prosoeca ganglbaueri. RNAcentral's name for it is "partial large subunit ribosomal RNA". It matches the Rfam family "Bacterial large subunit ribosomal RNA", at positions 1825 to 2607 of the family's 2925-position model. The record is from RNAcentral. Lineage: Eukaryota; Metazoa; Arthropoda; Insecta; Diptera; Nemestrinidae.